ACGCUCGCAAAGUGACUGUGGCUGCUGUUGGCUGUUGCAUCAGCCGUUUAUUCAGCAACCGGCAGUUGGAACAAAAACGUUCGCGCCCUGGCAACCAUAGGAGGUCAAGACACAAAACGUGUAACUUGGAACAUCCUCGCCAAAAUGUUCAGUGAUGAGGGGGGGAGAAGAAUUAACUGGAAAGGACUGAAUGGGAAAAAACCUUUCAGCAAGAUGAUGACAAAGACCUUGCUGCUCCCUAAGUAGUCGUUUUUUUUUUUGUUUGUUUGUUUGUUUGUAUUUUCAAGUCAAGCCUGUGAAUAAAGAGAUUAUUGGCUUU
Molecule: long non-coding RNA, 319 nt
Organism: Cheilinus undulatus (humphead wrasse)
Lineage: Eukaryota; Metazoa; Chordata; Actinopteri; Labriformes; Labridae
Exons: 2
Source: RefSeq, a predicted model, not a curated record